RNAcentral lists this transfer RNA (85 nucleotides) under candidate division MSBL1 archaeon SCGC-AAA259O05. RNAcentral's name for it is "tRNA-Ser". It matches the Rfam family "tRNA". From Rfam's summary of the family: Transfer RNA (tRNA) molecules are approximately 80 nucleotides in length. Their secondary structure includes four short double-helical elements and three loops (D, anti-codon, and T loops). The record is from RNAcentral. Lineage: Archaea; Methanobacteriati; Methanobacteriota.
GCCCGGGUGGCAGAACGAUAUUGCGCCAGCUUGGAGGGCUGGUCUCCGAAAGGGGUUAGCGGUUCGAGUCCGCUCCCGGGCGCCA